AGUGAACGCUGGCGGUAGGCCUAACACAUGCAAGUCGAACGGCAGCACAGUAAGAGCUUGCUCUUACGGGUGGCGAGUGGCGGACGGGUGAGGAAUACAUCGGAAUCUACUUUUUCGUGGGGGAUAACGUAGGGAAACUUACGCUAAUACCGCAUACGACCUACGGGUGAAAGCAGGGGAUCUUCGGACCUUGCGCGAUUGAAUGAGCCGAUGUCGGAUUAGCUAGUUGGCGGGGUAAAGGCCCACCAAGGCGACGAUCCGUAGCUGGUCUGAGAGGAUGAUCAGCCACACUGGAACUGAGACACGGUCCAGACUUCUAAGGGAGGCAGCAGUGGGGAAUAUUGGACAAUGGGCGCAAGCCUGAUCCAGCCAUACCGCGUGGGUGAAGAAGGCCUUCGGGUUGUAAAGCCCUUUUGUUGGGAAAGAAAAGCAGCAGGUUAAUACCCCGCUGUUCUGACGGUACCCAAAGAAUAAGCACCGGCUAACUUCGUG
This 492-nucleotide ribosomal RNA is filed under the name uncultured bacterium. RNAcentral describes it as "partial 16S ribosomal RNA". It matches the Rfam family "Bacterial small subunit ribosomal RNA", at positions 29 to 507 of the family's 1533-position model. The record is from RNAcentral.